RNAcentral lists this ribosomal RNA (440 nucleotides) under uncultured bacterium. RNAcentral's name for it is "partial 16S ribosomal RNA". It matches the Rfam family "Bacterial small subunit ribosomal RNA", at positions 338 to 795 of the family's 1533-position model. The record is from RNAcentral.
CCUACGGGAGGCAGCAGUGGGGAAUAUUGCACAAUGGGGGAAACCCUGAUGCAGCGACGCCGCGUGCGUGAUGAAGUAAUUCGUUAUGUAAAGCUCUAUCUGCAGGGAAGAAAAUGACGGUACCUGAGUAAGAAGCCCCGUCUAACUACGUGCCAGCAGCCGCGGUAAUAUGGAGGGGGCCACCGUUAUCCGGAUUUACUGGGCGUAAAGGGGGCGUAGUCGGCUGUGCAAGUCUGGAGGGAAAGGCGGGGGCUCAACCCCCGGACUGCCCGGGAAACUGUACGGCUGGAGUGCAGGAGAGGUAGGUGGAAUUCGUGGUGUAGCGGUGAAAUGCGUAGAUAUUAGGAGGAACACCAGUGGCGAAGGCAGCUUACUGGACUGUAACUGACGUUGAGGCUCGAAAGCGUGGGGAGCAAACAGGAUUAGAUACCCGAGUAGUC